AAGAUAACAUAAUUUAGGAGUCUGUUGAACAUAUUUUAAGACUCUGCACUCGUUAAAAUGAUGAGUUCUACUUUUUUUUUUCCUCAAAAUAAAAUGCUCUAGUAAAUCUUUUGUUAGAAAAAUAAAUAAAUGUUCCUUUCAAAAAACAAAGGUUAAUCUUUCUUUCAAAAAUAUAUGAUGAUGAAUAAUAGUAAAUGACGGGGAUGAUGAUCCAUUAAUUGCGAGGAUAAAUUGUCAACUAAAUGAACGGAAUAUUCUCCGCGAAGCAUGUGAAAGAAAAAAUAUAUAAAUAAAUAAACUACGUGGAAGAAAACAUACGACGUGUCGAUUUCCCAGUAGAUAAGGAGUGCGAAAUUAGUGUAUAAUGGCUGGUAGGUGACCGGUCUCCUACCAAAUAAACCGCCAAAGAAUCGUGAUACGAGUUAUUCAAUUCUUUAUAACUCCAAGUUACCGGGGUACGACACAUUGGGGAAAUUUUCGGAUGCAUCACGAUAUUUCCAAGAGAUCGCCUUACAUGAUCCCUUGCAUGGCCGGUCCGAGAAUCUUCUUGUAAGAAGUUUCAGCUGAAUUUUUGUUUUUUUUUUUACAAGUGCUGUUUUUAGCCAAAUUCUCUUUUUAUUAUUUAUCAUUGUAGGAAAUAUCCAUUAUUCCCUAAAAAGUGUCACAUAUUAUAAGUAAUUUUAUGUAUGAACUAUGCUCAUAUUAUGUCAUCUUCAAAAUAUACAAAUUCAAAAAAAGAGUAUCAACUAGUACGUUUUGUCGAUGUUAUCCAACUAUCUAAGUCGAAAUUAAUGAUUUUUGUGCAAAUUUAUUAAUAUCAAUUCUCAAGCCAAAAAAUAUUGAUCGUAAAAUACUUUUCUAAAAAGAAAUUGGCAUAGAG
Molecule: long non-coding RNA, 880 nt
Filed under: Citrus x clementina
Lineage: Eukaryota; Viridiplantae; Streptophyta; Magnoliopsida; Sapindales; Rutaceae
Description: Citrus clementina (C. clementina) long non-coding RNA (CCLE_LNC003344)
Source: RNAcentral